This is a long non-coding RNA of Pseudophryne corroboree (corroboree frog), 968 nucleotides long. RefSeq lists it as uncharacterized. The transcript is spliced from 7 exons. NCBI's taxonomy places the organism in Eukaryota, Metazoa, Chordata, Amphibia, Anura, Myobatrachidae. The record is from RefSeq and is a predicted model, not a curated record.
CACGGAAGCUGCCUCCUGUAGAGAGAGAUGGCACUGGCUGCAGCUAGGGGGAGCUCCAGAGCACAGCUCCUCCCGGGCCCUUAGUAAGCCAGCCGAGGGAAGCUCAGAACUCUCUGCUCCUCCAUGCUCUGGAUGAUAGCCAAAGACAGCUGAAUCCCGCCCUGCCCGUUUUUGUGCGCCCUGCCGCCCCGCCGUUUGCUGCCUGCCGGACCCCGCCACGUCGCCGGAUCCAGCCGUGCGCCGCCGGACCCGGUUCUACCAGCAUCUCUACAAACCAUAGAGAGCAGACGUCAUCUAAUCAGCACACAGCCCCGGGUUUGGUGGUGCCCAGACGCAGGAUCCACUUGGAUUCUUUUAUUAAGAGCUGCUUUGCCCUAUCCUUUCCUCUCAAAUCUACAGGGUCAGUCGGAUAGUAGAUCUGUGCGCUUUCAUUCUUUCUUUGAACUUCCGAGUUGUUUGGCUUGCAUAGUAAAGAUUGCAGGAACAGGUCAUGAACUUACCUUGGAGAUUAUAAUUAAUGGCUACAGUAAGACGAGACACUAUUGAACUGCAAUUUUUUCAUCUGAAAUACACGUUCAGUUCUCCCUUGUUCCACAAUGAAGGAGCCAGGAGGGCGGUUUCAACUUCCACAGUUGCAGCCAAAAUCCCAGCACAUGCCCUAGGAAAAGACCUCUCCUGAAAGAAACCCAUGCACCAGUCACCUCAACCAUCACUGCCCAAACAACAGCAGACUACAUGAUCACCCAGCCCCGGCACCCUGAAUGAGGCAGAUCAUGUUCCCUGUCAUUUCGUCUUCCUUGUCUUCCUUCCUUUUUCUAUCAUUCAGCUUGAUCUUUUUUUAAUAUGUUGUCGUGUUUAAGUUAUGAUGGAGUAAUUCAAUACAUGAUGUUGUUACACUGAGUGCAAUAUGUCUUGUAUUAUGCUAUUACAGUAUGUAUGCCUUAUUCAUAUUUCAUGAUGUAUUGUGU